GAUGAAGAACGUAGCGAAAUGCGAUAAGUAAUGUGAAUUGCAGAAUUCAGUGAAUCAUCGAAUCUUUGAACGCACAUUGCGCCCGUCAGUAUUCUGGCGGGCAUGCCUGUUCGAGCGUCAUUACGCCCCUCAAGUCCCCUGUGGACUUGGUGUUGGGGAUCGGCGAGGCUGGUUUUCCAGCACAGCCGUCCCUUAAAUUAAUUGGCGGUCUCGCCGUGGCCCUCCUCUGCGCAGUAGUAAAACACUCGCAACAGGAGCCCGGCGCGGUCCACUGCCGUAAAACCCCCCAACUUUUUAUAGUUGACCUCGAAUCAGGUAGGACUAUCCGCUGAACUUAAGCAUAUCAAUAAGCGGAGGA
This 358-nucleotide unclassified non-coding RNA is filed under the name soil metagenome. RNAcentral's name for it is "partial contains 5.8S ribosomal RNA, internal transcribed spacer 2, and large subunit ribosomal RNA". The stretch from base 1 to 120 matches the Rfam family "5.8S ribosomal RNA", at positions 35 to 154 of the family's 154-position model. The record is from RNAcentral.